Molecule: ribosomal RNA, 288 nt
Filed under: uncultured bacterium
Lineage: Bacteria
Description: partial 16S ribosomal RNA
Rfam family: Bacterial small subunit ribosomal RNA
Source: RNAcentral
UGCCUACGGGGGGCAGCAGUGGGGAAUAUUGCACAAUGGGGGAAACCCUGAUGCAGCAACGCCGCGUGAGUGAAGAAGUAUUUCGGUAUGUAAAGCUCUAUCAGCAGGGAAGAAGAUGACGGUACCUGAGUAAGAAGCCCCGGCUAACUACGUGCCAGCAGCCGCGGUAAUACGUAGGGGGCAAGCGUUAUCCGGAUUUACUGGGUGUAAAGGGAGCGUAGACGGAUGGAUAAGUCUGAAGUGAAAGCCCGCGGCUCAACUGCGGGACUGCUUUGGAAACUGUGCAUC